This is an RNA transcript of Sesamum indicum (sesame), 2996 nucleotides long. It is a transcript of the gene named SNF2 domain-containing protein / helicase domain-containing protein, with no coding region annotated. The record is from RefSeq and is a predicted model, not a curated record. NCBI's taxonomy places the organism in Eukaryota, Viridiplantae, Streptophyta, Magnoliopsida, Lamiales, Pedaliaceae.
GUCAACGGACAGCAUUGGUAGUUUAGACUUUCAACAUACCAAGUAAGCUUUACUUGAGCAAUAUUAAUUCAGGGGUAUUGUGGUAAUUGUACUCCAAGAUUUAAAACCUCGGCACUCCACCGCCACUGUUCCGGCGGAGUAAUGGACUACAAGCGGAGGCUAAUCGCGGCGGCGAAGUACGUCUACGGCGGAGACUCGCGCGCCACCGAAGGAGCGCGUGUCGAUCCAUCUGAUUUUGCGGUCACGGCGGCGCUUAAACCUCAUCAAGUCGAAGGUGUCUCGUGGCUCAUUCGACGGUACCACCUCGGCGUCAAUGUCAUACUUGGGGACGAGAUGGGACUCGGGAAGACUUUGCAGGCUAUCUCUCUUUUGAGUUACUUGAAAAUUUGUCAGAAGUCUCCUGGGCCGUUCUUGGUGUUAUGUCCUCUUAGUGUGAUUGAUGGUUGGGUGUCUGAAGUGGGCAAGUUUGCUCCAAAAUUGAGACUGCUCCCUUAUGUUGGAGAAAAGGAACACAGACGUACAUUACGAGGGGAGAUGCAUGAACAUGUAAAAGAGCUGUCAUUAUCAUCUCAUAUCCCAACAUUGCCAUUUGAUGUGCUAUUGACAACGUAUGACAUAGCAUUGAUCGAUCAAGAUUUUCUCUCUCAGUUCCCAUGGCAUUAUGCAAUAAUUGAUGAGGCACAGAGACUCAAAAAUCCUUCGAGUGUCUUAUAUAAUGUUCUAAGAGAGCAAUUUGUCAUGCCAAGAAAAUUGUUGAUGACGGGAACACCUAUUCAAAACAAUAUUACUGAACUUUGGGCUUUGAUGCACUUCUGUAUGCCAUUAAUCUUUGGAACACUGGAGCAUUUCGUCGCUGAUUUCAAGGAAGCUGGAGAUCCUUCUUGCGAAGAUACAGAAAAAGUGAAGGAACAAUUUAAGAUUUUAAAAUAUGUGCUGGGAGCAUUCAUGCUUCGAAGGACCAAAUCUAUGCUUGUGGAAUCUGGAACUCUGUCACUGCCGCCUGUUACCGAAAUAACCGUGAUGGCACCUUUGUCUCCCCUACAGAAGAAGGUUUAUGUGUCAAUACUGAGGAAGGAACUUCCGAAGUUGGUUGCACUUGCUUCUGGAGCUUCCAGUGCUCAAUCGUUGAAUAAUAUUGUAAUUCAGCUUCGGAAAGCAUGUAGUCACCCAUACCUCUUUCCAGGUAUUGAGCCUGAACCGUAUCAGGAGGGUGAGCACCUGGUUCAGGCUAGCGGAAAACUUCUAAUUUUGGAUCAGCUACUUCAGAAGCUGCAUGACAGUGGACAUCGAGUUCUAUUGUUUGCGCAGAUGACUCAUACGCUUGAUAUAUUACAGGACUUCUUAGAAUUGAGGAAAUAUACUUAUGAGCGACUUGAUGGUUCAAUUCGAGCGGAGGAGCGCUUCGCUGCAAUCAGAAGGUUCAGCCAAAAUUCUGUCACUAAAAGUGCCAGUUCUGAUGCUUAUAUUAGCAGUCCAUUUGUCUUUUUGAUUUCCACACGAGCUGGGGGAGUGGGGUUAAAUCUUAUGGCUGCUGACACGGUCAUAUUUUAUGAGCAGGAUUGGAAUCCCCAAGUGGAUAAGCAGGCUCUGCAGCGUGCUCACAGAAUUGGUCAAAGCAAUCAUGUCUUGUCUAUUAAUUUGGUUAUAGGGCGUACGAUUGAGGAGGUUAUUAUGCGUAGAGCAGAACGAAAGUUACGGCUGAGUCAUAAUGUUAUAGGGGACAAUAUUUUGGAGCAUGAGGGAGGUAAUAUUGGAGGGACUGAAGCUGGUGAUCUGAAAUCUGUCAUAUUUGGGUUGCAUGUUUUUGAUACCACGGAGAUGAAUAUGGAAAAAUCAGAUAAUCUACUAGAUAUGGGCGAACUGAUCGAUUUGGCUGAAAAGGUUAUUGCGUCCCGCCAUGAGUUACAAUCAGACGUGAGUGACAGGAGGUUUGAGAUCAAUCCAAUGAAUCUGAUGGAUGGUCAUGAUCUAGUCAUGAAAGAGAGGUCUCAGUCUAUUGAUUUUGAUCCUGGCCUUGAUGAGGCUUCAUACAUGUCAUGGGUUGAGAAGUUCAAGAAAGCAUCAUCAGCAGAUGACACUGAUAUGCUGGAAUUAGGGAAUAGGAGAAGCUUACCUGAUGAAAAACACAUUAAAGCUGAAGCUGCUCGCAAGAAGGCAGAAGAGAAGAAACUAUCUAAGUGGGAAGCUCUUGGAUAUCAUUCAUUAUGUGUCAGUAGUCCUGUUCCUCCGGCCAAUCAGGAUAUGAUGUCGGAUUCUGGUUCAGUUCAUUUUGUUUAUGGGGACUGCACAAACACUGCAGCAAUUUGUCCUUCUGAGCCAACUAUUAUAUUCAGCUGUGUUGAUAAUUCUGGAAACUGGGGGCAUGGGGGCCUUUUUGAUGCACUGGCUAGGCUUUCAGCUACCAUUCCCAACACAUACGAGCAAGCUUCAGAAUUUGGGGAUCUCCAUCUCGGAGAUCUUCAUCUCAUAGCAGUAACUGAGGACCAUAGUGUGUCACGUACUAGUAAUGCUCCUCAAUGGGUAGGUUUAGCUGUUGUGCAGUCAUAUAAUCCCAGGCGUAAAGUCCCUCGCAGUAGUAUCUCCAUUGCUGAUUUGGAAGUUUGCCUUGCGAAAGCAUCAUUUUCAGCUGCUCAAUAUUCUGAGAGUCAUCUUAUGACUGACAUAAUUUACUGCAAUGGAGUUCUGUAGAUAAGUAGGUCGGUAGAUUAUUGAUAGACAUGGCACAGGCAGGUCUUCUACAUUUUCUAAAGAAGGACAAAUGAGAACGAAUGAAAAUAGAAAGUUGCUGUCAGUGGAAAGGGAGACUGGAGAGAGGCCAAGAGGUUCUUCCUAUGCAGAUUAUGAUUGUUUCUAAAUCUCAUCAGCUUCGAUCCACAUGCCGCGUAUUAAUUAUCAAGAUGGUUCAGAUCGUUCAGAAUGGUAUUCUGUUGAACGCCUUCUACGAAAAUAUGCAGCCAUGUAUGGCAUAAAUAUAUAUGUAUAUUAUUACAGACGUG